CUGUGGCCAUAUCAUGUUGAAACACCGGUUCCCGUACGAUCACUGAAGUUAAGCAACGUAGAGCCUGGUCAGUAC
Non-coding RNA from Acanthosepion pharaonis, 75 nucleotides. Lineage: Eukaryota; Metazoa; Mollusca; Cephalopoda; Sepiida; Sepiidae. The record is from the annotation of a GenBank genome assembly.